GAUUUCUGGUUCGGCGCACUUGGCCCGUCUCGGUUUACGGGAUUGCGUGCCGGUGUGCGCCAUCCAUCCUUCGGGAAAUACACAGCUACCCUUCACUGGGCCGGUUGUGCUAUCCCGAUCUUUUACUUUGAAAAAAUUAGAGUGUUUAAAGCAGGCUUGCGCUAUGAAUACAUUAGCAUGGAAUAAUAAUCUAGGACUUUCGGUUCUAUUUUGUUGGUGUUCUGGAGCUGAAGUAAUGAUUGAUAGGGAUAGUUGGGGGUGCUAGUAUUCAAUGGCCAGAGGUGAAAUUCUCGGAUUCCUUGAAGACUAACUUAUGCGAAAGCAUU
Molecule: ribosomal RNA, 326 nt
Filed under: Cercomonas sp.
Lineage: Eukaryota; Cercozoa; Cercomonadida; Cercomonadidae
Description: SSU rRNA
Rfam family: Eukaryotic small subunit ribosomal RNA (bases 105-326)
Source: RNAcentral